This 514-nucleotide ribosomal RNA is filed under the name uncultured bacterium. RNAcentral's name for it is "bacterial SSU rRNA". It matches the Rfam family "Bacterial small subunit ribosomal RNA", at positions 16 to 518 of the family's 1533-position model. The record is from RNAcentral.
AUCAUGGCUCAGGAUGAACGCUAGCUACAGGCUUAACACAUGCAAGUCGAGGGGCAGCAUGACGAUAGCUUGCUAUUGUUGAUGGCGACCGGCGCACGGGUGAGUAACGCGUAUCCAACCUUCCCUAUAGUAGAGGAUAGCCCGGCGAAAGUCGGAUUAAUACUCUAUGUUUUCCAAUGCAGACAUCUAAAAUGGAACAAAGGUUUACCGCUAUAGGAUGGGGAUGCGUCUGAUUAGGUUGUUGGCGGGGUAACGGCCCACCAAGCCUACGAUCAGUAGGGGUUCUGAGAGGAAGGUCCCCCACAUUGGAACUGAGACACGGUCCAAACUCCUACGGGAGGCAGCAGUGAGGAAUAUUGGUCAAUGGGCGAGAGCCUGAACCAGCCAAGUAGCGUGCAGGAAUGACGGCCCUAUGGGUUGUAAACUGCUUUUAUACAGGGAUAAAGUGCGCCACGUGUGGCGCUUUGUAGGUACUGUAUGAAUAAGGACCGGCUAAUUCCGUGCCAGCAGCCGC